UUGACCGUGCUGAAGACUGAAUUAUUCUAUGGAAGGUGUACGGGACAAGCAGUGACAAUGCGAGCUUCCCUCAUCUCUGUAUGUUGCCACUGCCAAUGUGCCUCAACACUGACUUGGCGGGACAUGUCUAAAGUGAAGAAAAGAGUUCGAGCUCCAUGGCCCAUUCAUUCCUUAUGCUGUC
This is an unclassified non-coding RNA of Chrysemys picta bellii (western painted turtle), 181 nucleotides long. Lineage: Eukaryota; Metazoa; Chordata; Testudines; Emydidae. The record is from Ensembl.